Molecule: ribosomal RNA, 253 nt
Filed under: uncultured bacterium
Lineage: Bacteria
Description: partial 16S ribosomal RNA
Rfam family: Bacterial small subunit ribosomal RNA
Source: RNAcentral
UACAGAGGUCCCAAGCGUUGUUCGGAUUCACUGGGCGUAAAGGGUGCGUAGGCGGUCGGGUAAGUCUGAUGUGAAAUCCCGCAGCUCAACUGCGGAAUGGCAUUGGAUACUAUUUGGCUAGAGGGUUGGAGGGGGGACUGGAAUUCUCGGUGUAGCAGUGAAAUGCGUAGAUAUCGAGAGGAACACCAGUGGCGAAGGCGAGUCCCUGGACAACUCCUGACGCUGAGGCACGAAAGCUAGGGGAGCAAACAGG